Molecule: ribosomal RNA, 378 nt
Filed under: uncultured bacterium
Lineage: Bacteria
Description: bacterial SSU rRNA
Rfam family: Bacterial small subunit ribosomal RNA
Source: RNAcentral
GACGAACGCUGGCGGCGUGCUUAACACAUGCAAGUCGAGCGGUAAGGCCCUUUGGGGUACACGAGCGGCGAACGGGUGAGUAACACGUGAGUAAUCUGCCUUUGGCUUGGGAAUAACUUCGGGAAAUCGGGGCUAAUGCCUGAUGUUUACUGUCUGCUGCAUGGUGGGUGGUGGAAAGAUUUUUUGGCCAGGGAUGAGCUCGCGGUCUAUCAGCUUGUUGGUGGGGUAAUGGCUUACCAAGGCUUUGACGGGUAGCCGGCCUGAGAGGGUGUUCGGCCACACUGGGGACUGAGACACGGCCCAGACUCCUACGGGAGGCAGCAGUGGGGAAUAUUGCGCAAGUGGGCGUAAGCCUGACGCAGCGACGCCGCGUGGGGA